This 341-nucleotide long non-coding RNA is filed under the name Nicotiana tabacum (common tobacco). RNAcentral describes it as "long non-coding RNA (NTAB_LNC001336)". Lineage: Eukaryota; Viridiplantae; Streptophyta; Magnoliopsida; Solanales; Solanaceae. The record is from RNAcentral.
UUCACAAAGAGAUGCUGCAUUAGAAUAUGAAACUGUCAUUAUAAUCUGAAACUUGCUAUUACAAUAUGAAACUAGUCCAUGAGAGGACUGGAGGGGGUGGAGAGACAACGAGGUGAUGUCUCAUCAUCAAACUUUGAUACUAUGAAAUGAAACUAGUCCAUGAGAGGACAAAGGAGGUAGAGAGACAACGAGGUGAUGUCUCAUAAUCUCUUUUAAUUUAUUUCUUUGAGAUACAUAUACACACCUAACGCCACUUCAAAUAUUCUACAAGUUUCAUCAUGGUCAAUCAAACACCGGUAAUUGCAUAACCAGCUUCUUGACUUCUAAGGACUCACAUCUUU